AUUGAACGCUGGCGGAAUGCUUUACACAUGCAAGUCGAACGGUAGAGGGGGCAACCCCUCGAGAGUGGCGAACGGGUGAGUAAUAUAUCGGAACGUGCCCAGUCGUGGGGGAUAACGUAGCGAAAGUUACGCUAAUACCGCAUACGAUCUACGGAUGAAAGCGGGGGACUCGCAAGAGCCUCGCGCGAUUGGAGCGGCCGAUGUCAGAUUAGGUAGUUGGUGAGGUAAAGGCUCACCAAGCCAACGAUCUGUAGCUGGUCUGAGAGGACGACCAGCCACACUGGAACUGAGACACGGUCCAGACUCCUACGGGAGGCAGCAGUGGGGGAAUUUUGGACAAUGGACGCAAGUCUGAUCCAGCCAUUCCGCGUGCAGGAUGAAGGCCCUCGGGUUGUAAACUGCUUUUGUACGGAACGAAAAGGUUUCUCUUAAUACGAGGAGCUCAUGACGGUACCGUAAGAAUAAGCACCGGCUAACUACGUG
This 483-nucleotide ribosomal RNA is filed under the name uncultured bacterium. RNAcentral describes it as "bacterial SSU rRNA". It matches the Rfam family "Bacterial small subunit ribosomal RNA", at positions 30 to 507 of the family's 1533-position model. The record is from RNAcentral.